This 442-nucleotide ribosomal RNA is filed under the name uncultured bacterium. RNAcentral describes it as "SSU rRNA". It matches the Rfam family "Bacterial small subunit ribosomal RNA", at positions 26 to 518 of the family's 1533-position model. The record is from RNAcentral.
AGAACGAACGCUGGCGGCACGCCUAACACAUGCAAGUCGAGCGCCCAGCAAUGGGAGCGGCGGACGGGUGAGGAACACGUGGGAACAUGCCUUUUGGUUCGGAACAACGCAGGGAAACUUGCGCUAAUACCGAAUGUGCCCUUACGGGGAAAGAUUUAUCGCCAAAGGAUUAGCCCGCGUAGGAUUAGCUAGUUGGUGAGGUAAUGGCUCACCAAGGCUCCGAUCCUUAGCUGUUCUGAGAGGAAGAUCAGCCACACUGGGACUGAGACACGGCCCAGACUCCUACGGGAGGCAGCAGUUGGGAAUCUUGGACAAUGGGGGAAACCCUGAUCCAGCCAUGCCGCGUGAGUGAUGAAGGCCUUCGGGUUGUAAAACUCGUUUCGACGGGACGAUAAUGACGGUACCCGUAGAAGAGCUCCGGCUACUUCGCGCCAGCAGCCGC